RNAcentral lists this long non-coding RNA (353 nucleotides) under Olea europaea (common olive). RNAcentral describes it as "long non-coding RNA (OEUR_LNC005583)". The record is from RNAcentral. Lineage: Eukaryota; Viridiplantae; Streptophyta; Magnoliopsida; Lamiales; Oleaceae.
UUGAGCCAAGGGUCGACCUACUUCGAAUGGUAUUUGAUAUGAAAUUUUCCCCAGGGUAUAACUGUUUUGUUUAUUUAUCAACCAAGGGGGGGGGGGUUUUAGAACUCCUGAUACCCCGAGCUCACUUAGAGGUUGGAAGGAACGUUUCUUUUUUGUGAAACCUCAAGACCUCGAUCAUCCCUUUAGCCUGAGGUGGGAAAUCCCCGAUAAAGAUAGGUUUAACGAAGGUCAGGCCUAUUUUGAGGUUUUAGAGAGAGAUAGGCUGAGGUUAGUGAACCACGACCCCCUUGCAGACAAGAUCGAUUUCUUGCUUGAAGACGACACCCUCGACCUUGCUAACGUGAAAGGCCUCG